UUGUUCUUGUAUGUACGAAAGCUAUGGCAAAGAUUCACGCAUGGAACGUCUUGGCAAUUUUCAUUGUAUUGGCCAUUCUGUCUACUGCUCAACAUAGAGUUGAUGCAGUUAAGCUUGGAUGUUCUGGUGGGGGACAGCGAGGACGGGGACUUCAACGGCACAAAACUCCUCGUACUACUCAAAGAACGCUUAGACCUUUCUUUCCCGGAUAACACCUGGAUACGGGCAGCAACGUUAAGAAUAAUUCAACGAGAAUCUCCGUGCAGAGAGCUCCAACUGGAGCUGAAGAUCAUCAGACCUGAACACACGCUACAGAUUAUAUGAAGAAUGGUUCACACGUCUUGGCACCCACUCCAAGAAAAACUGCGCAUAAGUGCUCACGUAAUACUGCCUAAUUAUGAAUUACUGUAUGCAGUCCAGUUUUUUUUUUUUACGUUACGUAUAAAAUAUAAAUAUUCGCCCAAUCUUUGUACUGCUUUGACAGGCUAUGAUUGUUUAACGAGAGAAAUCGUUAAUAUGAAACAUGCGAUUGCUAUCCGUGGCAACUUGUACUCGCAAUAUUUUUGUUUUCCGCUUUGCUUACGAAAAUGUAAUAAAUGAAUGACCUCAUACAA
This is a long non-coding RNA of Dermacentor albipictus, 614 nucleotides long. RefSeq lists it as uncharacterized. Lineage: Eukaryota; Metazoa; Arthropoda; Arachnida; Ixodida; Ixodidae. The record is from RefSeq and is a predicted model, not a curated record.